Molecule: long non-coding RNA, 521 nt
Filed under: Homo sapiens (human)
Lineage: Eukaryota; Metazoa; Chordata; Mammalia; Primates; Hominidae
Description: HSALNT0318953
Source: RNAcentral
CUCACGAAUACAAAGAUGGGAACAACGCAUAUGGGGCCUAUCAGAGGCUGGAACGUGGGAGAAGGGAGAGAAUCAGGCAACAAGUUGACAAAUGGACAUGAAUUUCACCUCUGAGAGUUUCAUAAGCUGGUAUUGUCCUGACAUUGCAAAGUGUUUACCACAAAGAUCCUGUACAUCCAUCAUCCAGGGCCAGCGUUUGCCUGAUUCUAAUUCCACUGACAUUGAAAUCUACAGCUCUCUUUUUAUAGCUCACAGAUGUCUUCCUUAAGGACCCGAGAGCCAUCUUUGAAACAUAAGUAUCAAGUCAGAUAGCACACCUAUCUUUCAGUUUACGUGACAAGUGCCUUGGAAAUACGACCUAUUGAAUGUCUACUUUCAUGAGCUGAAAUAUUCAUAGGUCAUGAAGCCACAGAAUGGAAGAGGCCUUGAUCAUCUAAUCACAGCUUGGAGGGUAGCUUAGACAAGAGGGCCAUCCAACCAACGUUGCGAUUUAUAAGAAUAAGAAGUUAACUGAUAAAGAC